AUUACGUGCAUAAUAAUCAGCUAAAUUAUAUCCCAAACAUACUAAUUUUAUAUUGUUAUCUAUAUAUUUAUUCCUUCAUAUAUUAUCUGCUUCUGAAGGAUUAAUUUAUUCGAAAAAAUUUAAAAUUACAGUAAGUAACAAUUAGGCGGUUGUUAAAAAUAUCGAUAUAUCUGAUGUGCGGUAGUUUAUGAUACGAGAAAUCAUGAAAUAUCUCUAGCAAGGUCGCACACUUGACUAUCAUCACGAUGCUGCACGGAAAGGAAAAUCACAGCUCUCGAAAAUCAGCAAACGGAGAAAAAAAUACAAAAUCAAUUCAACGUCGUCGAGCCUGAGUGCUCUUAAACCCAAGUACGUAAAUUCUUCCUCAAACUACAAAUUAUAAACGGCUUAAAUAAAUAUCAAUGAAAAUCAUAGGAUGCAAGUACGCGGAGGAUGAGGACGACAAGGACGAUAACGUCGACGAGUGCAAAGAAUGUGCACGCGAUGAGAGAACUACAGGAUCAGGCAUUAAAAGGGGGCAACGCCCGAGGUGGCCUUGCUCG
Microplitis demolitor is the source of this 542-nucleotide long non-coding RNA. RefSeq lists it as uncharacterized. The transcript is spliced from 3 exons. Lineage: Eukaryota; Metazoa; Arthropoda; Insecta; Hymenoptera; Braconidae. The record is from RefSeq and is a predicted model, not a curated record.